RNAcentral lists this ribosomal RNA (252 nucleotides) under uncultured bacterium. RNAcentral describes it as "partial 16S ribosomal RNA". It matches the Rfam family "Bacterial small subunit ribosomal RNA", at positions 524 to 776 of the family's 1533-position model. The record is from RNAcentral.
UACGUAGGGGGCAAGCGUUGUCCGGAAUUAUUGGGCGUAAAGCGCGCGCAGGCGGUUGAUUAAGUUCGGUGUUUAAGGCUGUGGCUCAACCACAGUUCGCACUGGAAACUGGUUAACUUGAGUACAGAAGAGGAAAGUGGAAUUCCACGUGUAGCGGUGAAAUGCGUAGAGAUGUGGAGGAACACCAGUGGCGAAGGCGGGUUGCUGGGCUGACACUGACGCUGAUGCGCGAAAGCCAGGGGAGCGAACGGG